UACGUAGGGUGCGAGCGUUAAUCGGAAUUACUGGGCGUAAAGCGUGCGCAGGCGGUUGGCAAAGUCAGCUGUGAAAGCCCCGGGCUCAACCUGGGAAUUGCGGUUGAAACUAGUCGACUAGAAUCUGGCAGAGGGGGGUGGAAUUCCACGUGUAGCGGUGAAAUGCGCAGAUAUCAGGAGGAACACCGAUUGCGAAGGCAGCUCGCUGGAACGUUACUGACGCUGAGACGCGAAAGCGUGGGGAGCAAACAGG
RNAcentral lists this ribosomal RNA (253 nucleotides) under uncultured bacterium. RNAcentral's name for it is "partial 16S ribosomal RNA". It matches the Rfam family "Bacterial small subunit ribosomal RNA", at positions 524 to 776 of the family's 1533-position model. The record is from RNAcentral.